Leucoraja erinaceus (little skate) is the source of this 2493-nucleotide long non-coding RNA. RefSeq lists it as uncharacterized. The record is from RefSeq and is a predicted model, not a curated record. Lineage: Eukaryota; Metazoa; Chordata; Chondrichthyes; Rajiformes; Rajidae. The transcript is spliced from 3 exons.
AUUUUCAGCAUCUACAGUUUAAAAAAAAAAUCCAUGAAACCCAAGAUUUAAAAGGAACCUGAGGGGCUUUUUCAUACAGAGUUUGGUGGAUAUGUGGAACGAGCUGCCGGCGGAGGGGCAACCUUGCAGAGGGAAUUUAACCUACAAACCUGCACAUCGUUGCGUUGUGGGAGGAAACCGGAGCACCUGGAGGAAACCCACGCAGUACAAAUGGUACCUCACCAUUCACCAGAUGUGGCAGGAUCUUCCUUUGGUUGUGAGAUGCUGAGGCCUGUGGUUCAGGUAGUUUGGCAUGCGCCCGACAACUCUCACCAACCUCUCAAGAUGCGCCGUGGAAAGCAUUUUAUCGGGAUGCAUCACAGCAUGGUUUGGGAACAGCUCCAUCCAAGACCCCAAGAAAUUGGAGAGAAUUGUGGACGCAGCCCAAACCAUCACACAAACCAUCCUCCCUUCCAUUGACUCCAUCUACACUUCACGCUGCCUCAGCAAGGCUAUCAGGAUAAUCCAGGACAAGCCUCUCCCUAGUCACUCCCUCUUUUCCCCUCUCCUGUCAGGGGAAACGGAAGUGUGAAUACACACUCUUCCAGAUUCAGGGAGUUUCUUCCCAGCUGUUAUCAGGCAACUGAACCAUCCUAUCAACAACUGGAGAUCCUCGAACUAUCUUUAAUAGAACUUCACUAGACAUUAUCUUGUACUAAAUGUUAUUCCCUUUAUCCUGUAUCUGUUCACUGUGGGCAGCUUGAUUGUAAUCAUGUAUAGUCUUUUCGCUGAAUAGAUAGCACGCAACAAAAAAGCUUUACACUGUACCACGGUACUCGUGAAAUAAACUAAACUAAAAUGUAGUCUUUUUAUUAAUCCCUUGUCUGAUGGAAGAGGGGAGAAGAGGUGGUGACUGGGGUGAGACUCGUCCUUGAUUAUGCUUGUGGCCUUGCUGAGGCAAUGUGCAGUGUAGAUGGAGUCAAUGGGAGGGAGGUUGGUUUGCGAGAUGGUCUGGGCUAUGUCCACAACUCUCUGCAAUUUCUUGCAUCUGUGAGUGAACUGGAUAGGCGAUGUUUUGGGUCAGGACCCUUCUGUGUAUCACUGGUCAGAAUUUGACUUGUCCCCCGCCUCCUCUUUCCAGCAUUCUCCCGGCUACUAAAAUCAGUCUGAGCAAGGGUCUCGACCGGAAAUGUUGCCUGUCCAUUCCCUCCACUCAAGCUGUCUGUCCCGCUGUGUUACUCCAGCACUUUGUGUUUUGUUCAAGAUUCCAUCAUCUGCAGUUUCUUGUGUUUCCAUAGUCUCAAAGUUUAAUCUUUGAGAUUUUGAAGUCUCAGGAGCAGGAUCUCAAUGAAAAACCUCUGAUGUGGUGGGAAGGGAUUGUGUGCCCAUUCUGAGGCAGAAAUCCCCUGCCAGUUCUAUUGCCAGAGACCCCAAAUAUUGGGAGAAUGGCCUACACCUGAAGGAGACAUGGGCAUUUUAGCACCUUCUAAGCCCCCUAGUAUCAGAAUCCGUUUGUAAUGUUAAUGCAAGCCUCCCUUCCUGCCUCUCUCUAUACCUUCACAUGUCUGUUUACGAAUUUGCCUUUCAUUACAGAGAGAGAUGAAGCCUUGAAUUAAGUUUUCAUUGGUGGGUCGGUGGUGGAGAGAGAUAGCAACUGCGAACUCCUGAGCAUUAGACAUCUCAGAUGCCUGGUCAUGUAGACCAGCGCAUAGAUAUAAUCACGUGGGCAUCUCAAUGGCUCUACUCUCUUAGAUGUUUAAUACAGCAUCUCACUGAAUACUGCAGGUUCAUUACUUUCCUAUAGCAAUGGGCGGCACAGUGGUGCUGCAAAGAGUUGCUGCCAUACAGCGUCAGAGACCCGGGUUCGAUCUGACUACAGGUGCUGUCUGAAUGGAGUUUGUAUGUUCUCACUGUGACCGCUUGGGAUUUCUCCGGGUGCUCCGGUUUCUGCCCACACUCCAAAGGCGUGCAGGUUUUUAGGUUAAUUGGAUUCUAUAAAUCAUCCCUUGUGUGUAGGAUGGUGUUAGCAUAUGGCUUGUGUGACUGCAUGAGUUUUCUCAAGGUGCUCUAGUUUGCUCCCACAUUCCAAAGACAUGUGGAUUUGUAGGUUAAUUGGCUUCUAUAAAUUGCCCCUAGUGUGUGGGUUGGGAAAGCAUGAUAACAUGAAACUAGUGCAUGGUUGAUCAAUGGUCGGUGUGGACUUAGUGGGCUGAAGAGUCUGUUUCCACACGGUAUCUCUAAAGUCAUCAGUUUCUUGAACUGACUUGCAAAACACUAUAGAAUCUGCAGGAGGAUCCCAACGCAAAAUGUUGCCUAUCCAUGUCCUCCACAGAUGCUGACUGACCUGUUUAGUUCCCCCAGCAUUUUGUGUUCUAUGUAUGAGUCCAGCAUUUGCAGUUCUUUGCAAAACCUCUGCAAAGGAACACUGCAGAUCACCUCUUGUACGUCCGUGAACUUGUUAUUUCUAAUUAUCUUGUGCAUUAAUGCUUUGUUCUUUGCUGUCUUUUUUCUUUU